AAUUCUCAACCUUUUCAAUCUUUUAUUGGUUGAAAUUAGGCUUGGAUGUGGGAGUCUUUUGCUGGCUUCUUUAAGAGGUUGGCUCUCCUUAAAUUUAUUAGCGGGACCUUUGUUGCCCUCAGCGCUUAGUGUGAUAAUUAUCUACGCUAUCUGCUGAAAGCAACUGAAAAAAAAUGGGGUUUACAGCUUCUAAUCGUCUUUUGUAGACAAUUUAUAUGACA
RNAcentral lists this unclassified non-coding RNA (221 nucleotides) under Tricholoma frondosae. RNAcentral describes it as "partial internal transcribed spacer 2". Lineage: Eukaryota; Fungi; Basidiomycota; Agaricomycetes; Agaricales; Tricholomataceae. The record is from RNAcentral.